This 258-nucleotide transfer RNA is filed under the name Fasciola hepatica (liver fluke). RNAcentral's name for it is "tRNA-Ser". The record is from RNAcentral. Lineage: Eukaryota; Metazoa; Platyhelminthes; Trematoda; Plagiorchiida; Fasciolidae.
AUUAUUUUAGGUAUACUUAUUUUAUUCUUUUGGUGUUUUUUGUGGUUUUUGAUCUUGAGGUUUCUUUAUUGUUGAAAAUGCCUCUUCAGGGGGUGUUGUAUAAGAAAUUUUUUAGGUAUUUGUUUUUUUUGGUUUUGUUAGGUAUUGGGUUUUUGGUAGAGGUUCGCCGAGGUUAUGUUCGUUGAGCUUAUUAGGGUUUGGAGGAUUGUUAGGUUGUCGCUGCUAACGAUGAUUUGGGCUUUGGUUGCUCGGUUCUCU